This 1247-nucleotide ribosomal RNA is filed under the name metagenome. RNAcentral describes it as "bacterial LSU rRNA". It matches the Rfam family "Bacterial large subunit ribosomal RNA", at positions 1635 to 2875 of the family's 2925-position model. The record is from RNAcentral.
UAUACGACCGUACCGCAAACCGACACUGGUGCGCGAGAUGAGUAUUCUAAGGCGCUUGAGAGAACUCAGGAGAAGGAACUCGGCAAAUUGACACCGUAACUUCGGAAGAAGGUGUGCCCUAUUAGUGUGUAGUGAACAACGAAGCAUGAAUGGGUUGCAAAAAAUCGGUGGCUGCGACUGUUUAUUAAAAACACAGCACUCUGCAAACACGAAAGUGGACGUAUAGGGUGUGACGCCUGCCCGGUGCUGGAAGAUUAAAUGAUGGGGUGCAAGCUCUUGAUUGAAGUCCCAGUAAACGGCGGCCGUAACAAUAACGGUCCUAAGGUAGCGAAAUUCCUUGUCGGGUAAGUUCCGACCUGCACGAAUGGCGUAACGAUGGCCACACUGUCUCCUCCUGAGACUCAGCGAAGUUGAAAUGUUUGUGAUGAUGCAAUCUCCCCGCGGAAAGACGGAAAGACCCCAUGAACCUUUACUGUAGCUUUGUAUUGGACUUUGAACAGAUCUGUGUAGGAUAGGUGGGAGGCUUUGAAGCAGGGUCGCUAGAUCUUGUGGAGCCAACGUUGAAAUACCACCCUGGUGUGUUUGAGGUUCUAACCUAGGUCCAUUAUCUGGAUCGGGGACAGUGCAUGGUAGGCAGUUUGACUGGGGCGGUCUCCUCCCAAAGCGUAACGGAGGAGUUCGAAGGUACGCUAGUUACGGUCGGACAUCGUGACGAUAGUGCAAUGGCAUAAGCGUGCUUAACUGCGAGACUGACAAGUCGAGCAGAUGCGAAAGCAGGACAUAGUGAUCCGGUGGUUCUGUAUGGAAGGCCAUCGCUCAACGGAUAAAAGGUACUCUGGGGAUAACAGGCUGAUACCGCCCAAGAGUUCAUAUCGACGGCGGUGUUUGGCACCUCGAUGUCGGCUCAUCUCAUCCUGGGGCUGUAGCCGGUCCCAAGGGUAUGGCUGUUCGCCAUUUAAAGAGGUACGUGAGCUGGGUUUAAAACGUCGUGAGACAGUUUGGUCCCUAUCUUCCGUGGGCGCUGCAGAUUUGAGGAAGCCUGCUCCUAGUACGAGAGGACCGGAGUGGACACACCUCUGGUGUAUCGGUUGUCACGCCAGUGGCAUUGCCGAGUAGCUAAGUGUGGAAGAGAUAACCGCUGAAAGCAUCUAAGCGGGAAACUCGUUUCAAGAUGAGAUCUGCCGGGGCCUUGAGCCCCCUAAAGAGUCGUUCAAGACCAGGACGUUGAUAGGUCAGGUGUGGAAGUG